Molecule: ribosomal RNA, 255 nt
Filed under: uncultured bacterium
Lineage: Bacteria
Description: partial 16S ribosomal RNA
Rfam family: Bacterial small subunit ribosomal RNA
Source: RNAcentral
UACGUAGGGUGCAAGCGUUAAUCGGAAUUACUGGGCGUAAAGCGUGCGCAGGCGGCUAUGCAAGACAGAUGUGAAAUCCCCGGGCUCAACCUGGGAACUGCAUUUGUGACUGCAUAGCUAGAGUACGGUAGAGGGGGAUGGAAAUUCCCAGUGUAGAGGUGAAAUUCGUAGAUAGUUGGGAAGAACACCGGUGGCGAAGGCGGCUCACUGGCUCGUAUCUGACGCUCAGGCGCGACAGCGUGGGGAUCAAACAGG